RNAcentral lists this ribosomal RNA (253 nucleotides) under uncultured bacterium. RNAcentral's name for it is "partial 16S ribosomal RNA". It matches the Rfam family "Bacterial small subunit ribosomal RNA", at positions 524 to 776 of the family's 1533-position model. The record is from RNAcentral.
UACGUAGGGGGCUAGCGUUGUCCGGAAUCAUUGGGCGUAAAGCGCGUGUAGGCGGCCCGAUAAGUCCGCUGUGAAAGUCCAGGGCUCAACCCUGGGAUGCCGGUGGAUACUGUCGGGCUCGAGUCCGGAAGAGGCGAGUGGAAUUCCUGGUGUAGCGGUGAAAUGCGCAGAUAUCAGGAGGAACACCAAUGGCGAAGGCAGCUCGCUGGGACGUGACUGACGCUGAGACGCGCAAGCGUGGGGAGCAAACAGG